GAUGAACGCUAGCGGCAGGCCUAAUACAUGCAAGUCGGACGGGAUCCAUUGAUAGCUUGCUAUCAAUGGUGAGAGUGGCGCACGGGUGCGUAACGCGUGAGCAACCUGCCUCCAUCAGGGGGAUAGCCUCUCGAAAGAGAGAUUAACACCGCAUAAUAUCAACAGUUCGCAUGUUCAGUUGAUUAAAUAUUUAUAGGAUGGAGAUGGGCUCGCGUGACAUUAGCUAGUUGGUAGGGUAACGGCUUACCAAGGCGACGAUGUCUAGGGGCUCUGAGAGGAGAAUCCCCCACACUGGUACUGAGACACGGACCAGACUCCUACGGGAGGCAGCAGUAAGGAAUAGUGGUCAAGGGGCGGAAGCCUGAACCAGCCAUGCCGCGUGCAGGAUGACUGCCCUAUGGGUUGUAAACUGCUUUUGUCCAGGAAUAAACCUAAAUACGAGUAUUUAGCUGAAUGUACUGGAAGAAUAAGGAUCGGCUAACUCCGUG
Molecule: ribosomal RNA, 488 nt
Filed under: uncultured bacterium
Lineage: Bacteria
Description: partial 16S ribosomal RNA
Rfam family: Bacterial small subunit ribosomal RNA
Source: RNAcentral